Long non-coding RNA from Cyprinus carpio (common carp), 679 nucleotides. NCBI's taxonomy places the organism in Eukaryota, Metazoa, Chordata, Actinopteri, Cypriniformes, Cyprinidae. The record is from Ensembl.
AUAAUUCAAUUAUGCUUGCGUUCCUAGUUGUGAUCUGUUCUGGAUGAGAAACAUUUACUUAACUGUAAUAUAUUUAACUGCAUCAGGAGUUGCCAGAGAAGUGGAAUAACAUGAAGAAGUUGGCCUGGACAGUGAAACAUGAGGUUGCUCCUCUUCAUACUGCAGAGGUGGCCAUGAUCCGCAGGAAGUGUGUGGCCUUUGAGAAAAAGCUGAAUCUGUGCCGAGAGAGGUUUAAAAGAGAAGCUUCUCUUCAGUACAACACAGAGAAACCAUAUGCUCGCCUGGAUAAAAGAGAUGCUGGUUUUAGAGGAAGAGAAUGCAGAUCUCCAGGUGUCCUGUAAGCUAUUUGAAGUGAGCAGCCCCGAUACUAAGCAGCUCAUGUUCGGUCAGAGAGACAUUGCUGUUUUGAAACAGCUCUGGGAUCUGCUGCUGUGCGCUCAGUCGCAGUAUAGCAGAAUGGACAGGGAUGAAAUGGAAGGAGAUCAGUGUAGAACACAUGGAGACAGAGCUGAGGAGGUUUACAAAAGUAAGAAUGCUUGUAUCAGCACCAUUCCAGCAUCCCAAAAGUAAUCUUUUUCCUCAAAGCACAUUGUGGAAGAUGUCUAUCUUAUAUCUAACACUGACUUAAUGUCUGGUCAGGAAAUGCGGGUUCUUAAUAAAGAGGCCAGUGUCUGGGACA